GGGGAUGUAGCUCAGUGGAAGGGUGGCUGCAUACAGGAGGUCCUGGGUUCAAUCCCCAGCAUCCCCA
RNAcentral lists this transfer RNA (67 nucleotides) under Tinamus guttatus (white-throated tinamou). It matches the Rfam family "tRNA". From Rfam's summary of the family: Transfer RNA (tRNA) molecules are approximately 80 nucleotides in length. Their secondary structure includes four short double-helical elements and three loops (D, anti-codon, and T loops). The record is from Rfam by way of RNAcentral. Lineage: Eukaryota; Metazoa; Chordata; Aves; Tinamiformes; Tinamidae.